GACGAACGCUGGCGGCGUGCUUAACACAUGCAAGUCGAACGGAAAGGCCCUGCUUGCAGGGUACUCGAGUGGCGAACGGGUGAGUAACACGUGGGUGAUCUGCCCUGCACUUCGGGAUAAGCUUGGGAAACUGGGUCUAAUACCGGAUAGGAGCCAUCUUUAGUGUGGUGGUUGGAAAGUUUUUUCGGUGUAGGAUGAGCUCGCGGCCUAUCAGCUUGUUGGUGGGGUAAUGGCCUACCAAGGCGGCGACGGGUAGCCGGCCUGAGAGGGUGUACGGCCACAGUGGGACUGAGAUACGGCCCAGACUCCUACGGGAGGCAGCAGUGGGGAAUAUUGCACAAUGGGCGCAAGCCUGAUGCAGCGACGCCGCGUGGGGGAUGAAGGCCUUCGGGUUGUAAACUCCUUUCGCUAGGGACGAAGCUUUGUUGUGACGGUACCUAGAUAAGAAGCACCGGCUAACUACGUG
Molecule: ribosomal RNA, 466 nt
Filed under: uncultured bacterium
Lineage: Bacteria
Description: partial 16S ribosomal RNA
Rfam family: Bacterial small subunit ribosomal RNA
Source: RNAcentral